RNAcentral lists this ribosomal RNA (760 nucleotides) under uncultured Neocallimastigales. RNAcentral's name for it is "partial large subunit ribosomal RNA". It matches the Rfam family "Eukaryotic large subunit ribosomal RNA", at positions 24 to 629 of the family's 3401-position model. Lineage: Eukaryota; Fungi; Neocallimastigomycota; Neocallimastigomycetes; Neocallimastigales. The record is from RNAcentral.
GAUGCGAGAGUAGAGCAUAUCAAUAAGCGGAGGAAAAGAAACUAACAAGGAUUCCCUAGUAACGGCGAGUGAAGCGGGAAGAGCUCAAAUUUGAAAUCUUCAAGGGUUCUACCUUUACGAAUUGUAGUUUAUAAGAAGUGUUUUCUGUUAGUAGAGUGGCUAAAAGUUCUUUGGAAUAGGACAUCAUAGAGGGUGAGAAUCCCGUAUUUGUACAGUUACUUUCUAGCUGUGUGAUACACUUUCAACGAGUCGGAUUGUUUGGGAAUGCAGUCCAAAAUGGGUGGUAAAUUUCAUCUAAAGCUAAAUAUUGGCGAGAGACCGAUAGCGAACAAGUACCGUGAGGGAGAGAUGAAAAGAACUUUGAAAAGAGAGUUAAACAGUACGUGAAAUUGUCAAAAGGGAAGCGUUUGACACCAGUGUUGUUUAGUUGAAAAUCAAUUCAAUAGUUUUUGAUUCUAAGUAGUAUUGACUUCAUCAGCUUGCUGCUUUCUUCUCAGAAAUUAUUGAAUGCACUUUUCAGUUAACAAGACAACAUCAAUUUCUUUUGUUGUAAAAGGGUCAUUGGAAGGUGGCUUUCUUUUCGGAGAAAGUGUUUAUAGCCUUUGAUCUCUGCAACCGGAGAGACUGAGGUCUGCAGCGUAGACUCUUCGGGGUUAGAUACAUUUGUGCUAAGCUAUAGCUUUUUAUAGACAACUUGUUGACUAUAUUUAGUCUUGUGGCUUACUCGCUUAUGCUAUUUUACCUACGCUUAGGAUGUUGA